Balaenoptera musculus (blue whale) is the source of this 122-nucleotide small nucleolar RNA. The record is from Ensembl. NCBI's taxonomy places the organism in Eukaryota, Metazoa, Chordata, Mammalia, Artiodactyla, Balaenopteridae.
GUGCCCUUUCAAGGUUGACGCAGUGCCUUAAGAGGCUAACACAGAAGGGUAAAGAAAGUCUCCAUAAAACCCAGAGAAGAGAUUGUAGAACUCCUCUUUGGAUCCUGUCUGGAGUCACAGCU